UACACUUAUGUAAUGAUGAACUAACUAAACUAAACUAAAAACUCAAUCCGAUUGUUCAAAAACGUACGAAGGAUGGAUGCAUAUACUUGAACCUGUCCGUGAAACAUACUUGACCUUCAUGUGGCAAGAGAUCCUUGUCCAAUAAUUGCAAACGGACCCAGGAUCGUGUGUGGUUAGACUCGAGACAUCAACACGAUAUACUGUUUGAGAAUGCAAUCCCAUGGCUAGUAUUAGGAUUUUCAUGAUUGAAUCUAUCUCAACAGGGUGGGACAGAAAUUUCAAGUGGUGAUUCGAAUACGGAUCCGUAACACCACAAACUAGACGAAUGUCUUACUCUUACUACACAUGUUUCAUCUUUAAGCCUCAUACAAGUGCUAGACAAUAUGGUACCCUAUUAUUAGGGUCCCUAUGAUAUUAUGUUCUUACACUUCUUAAUCAACGACUCGUUCUCAGAACUCCUCCUGUGGCUAGGAAACUAGGUCCCAGACUCCUAGGGCUCCCCCUGCGGCGGACCUACAGUAAAUCCAGUGGUUCGGAUGAGAUAUUGGGAUGAAUUAGAGACUGGUAUUGCAACACAUCGUCGUAGUACUGGCUCGUACGUACUGUCUGGGUUAGGGCUCUACCAGUUUGCGACACAUGGUGUUCACUGAGACCUCUCAGACUUUAGGGUUUGGAUUACGAUGAUCAUUCUGAUAUGGGGCCGUUUAGAACUGCAGCGGUGAAGACGUGAAGUUCCAUGCAUGCAGGGUAGGGGCCCUAUAUCGAUUUGUAUGAGUAUAUGUUGUUGCAGGAUGGAAUGUAUGGAAUGUAAUUAACUAUGGAUGUCCUCCUCAGGUUGUAGGAUGUGUUUGAUUCUCUACUUCAUAAAAUAAACUUAGACCCUUAACCAUUUAUUUGGAAACAAUUUCACUUAUGAUGUAUAACAUAUAUGUGUGUGUUUUGAUCAAUAUGGGUUCUAACGUUAUAUACUGGAACUACUAAAAAUGGAAAUACCUAAUAUAUGUUGGAAAGUCAAUCGUGGUGUAUCUUCUUCUCUAUUAGGAAUAUUCUCUGUUAGGAAUGUAUAUAUGUGUGAACAUAUGUUUCUCAAUAUGAUUCAUAAUUGUAAGAUAGUUUCCUAAGUUAUAUUACAUUGUUCAUUGUAUAUGUAUUCACGUUUUUAUCAAUGAAAUCAUUCUGGUCAAGCUAUUAUCUUUUCAAUAUACUUGAAUAAAAUGGAAAUGUUUGGUGGUCGCAAGAUGCAAAAUUGGCUCAACCAUAGCUAGCUAU
RNAcentral lists this long non-coding RNA (1269 nucleotides) under Fragaria vesca (wild strawberry). Its description in RNAcentral is "long non-coding RNA (FVES_LNC003801)". Lineage: Eukaryota; Viridiplantae; Streptophyta; Magnoliopsida; Rosales; Rosaceae. The record is from RNAcentral.